AUGGGCGGCGGCCGCGAUGGUGGCUAUGCUUGCCGCGGCGGUAGGGGAAUCCGAUGCGGGUCAGCUGGAGCGAGCGUAAGUACAGAAUUUCCUCGCUCACGUUUCACGUUUGCUAUGCGCCUUUAUGCGUUUCCGAUUGUGGAGCCGGAUUAUGGCCACACCAAACUCCGUCUUUCUAAACAAGGCCUGGAGGCAAUCCAAAGGAUCAAGACUCCAAUAGCUGCUGUUUCUGUCAUUGGUCCAUAUCGAUCAGGAAAAUCUUUCCUUCUCAACCAGCUUCUCUCCUUAUCAUGUGAUAAAGGUUUUGGAGUUGGACACAUGCGAGAAACCAAAACCAAAGGUAUAUGGAUUUGGGGCACUCCCGUUGAGGUCGAUGUCGACGGCUCCAAAGUGUCUGUCCUUUACCUGGACACUGAAGGAUUUGAGAGCAUUGGAAAAUCCAAUGUAUAUGAUGAUAGGAUAUUUGCUCUGGCAGCUGUCCUGAGUUCUCUUCUUGUCUACAAUCUCCCUGAAACGAUUCGUGAAGCUGACAUAUCCAGACUCUCAUUCGCUGUUGAACUUGCUGAGGAAUUCUACGGAAGGGUGAAGGGCCAAGAUGUUGCUUUUGAGCCAGCAAAACUUCUGUGGCUGAUACAGAGGGAUUUCCUUGAAGGAAAAUCUGUACAACAGAUGGUUGACGAAGCUCUCCAACGGGUGCCUAACAGCAAUGGAGACAAAUAUAUUGACGAGGUCAACCAAAUCAGAGACUCGUUGGCAAUUAUGGGUGAUAACAGUACUGCUUUUAGCUUGCCCCAGCCUCAUCUCCAAAGAACAAAGUUAUGUGAUCUGGAGGACCAGGAACUUGAACCGUUGUAUGUACAAAGGAGGGAUGAACUGAAGCAAUUGGUUGCAUCCAUGAUAAAACCAAAAAUUGUGCAGGGUAGAACUUUAAAUGGAAAGGAGUUUGUAUCCUUCUUAGGGCAGAUACUUGAAGCUUUGAAUAAAGGCGAAAUUCCAUCGACAGGGUCGCUUGUUGAAGUUUUCAAUAAGGGCAUCCUUGAACGUUGCUUGAAGGUGUAUACUGAAAGAAUGGAAAUAGUGGGUCUACCGGUAUCAGUUGAUAAACUUCAGCUAGUUCAUGGGUUGGCAGAAGAUGAAGCUAGAAAGCUUUUUGACAAGCAACAUUUUGGUAAACAUUAUGCUGCUCAGUCCUUCCUCAAUCUUGAUGAAGAAAUAAAAAAGGUGUUGAGAAGCUAUGGAUUAGCCAAUGAGUAUCAGUCAUCAAAGCUGUGUGAAGCAAAGUUCUCAGAGUGUGAAGAAAAAAUGGAUCACCUUCAAGCCUUGAAGCUUCCUUCCAUGGCAAAAUUCAAUGCAGGAUUUCUCCGCUGCAAUCAAAGUUUCGAAAUGGAGUGUGUGGGGCCUGCCAAGGGUAGCUAUGAGCAUCGAAUGUCAAAGAUGCUCGCAAGGUCCCGUGCUCUGUUCAUCAGGGAGUACAACAACAAACUCUUCAACUGGCUGGUGAUCUUCUCCCUAACCAUGGUGGUGAUCGGGCGGUUCGUCGUAAAGCUUCUUCUACUUGAAGCCGCUGCAUGGGUGAUGUUCAUCUUCCUGGAGACGUACACGAGGUUGUUCUGGUCAUCGAAAUCGCUCUACUACAACCCCGUGUGGCAUGCCAUCGUCUCUUCGUGGGAGGCCAUUGUGUACAGCCCUGUUCUUGAUCUUGACAGAUGGGCAAUCCCAAUUGUUGUCAUGAUGUCUUUCUUAGCUGUUUAUUGGCGUUGCAUCGGCGCAAGGGGAAGGAUCGGUCGGUCGGUGUUACCCCUGUACAAUGGGUCUUUCAGAAGCAGCUCCGGUCGGCCGAGGACAGAUUAA
Molecule: ribosomal RNA, 1851 nt
Filed under: Triticum aestivum (bread wheat)
Lineage: Eukaryota; Viridiplantae; Streptophyta; Magnoliopsida; Poales; Poaceae
Description: partial small subunit ribosomal RNA
Source: RNAcentral